This is a long non-coding RNA of Poeciliopsis prolifica (blackstripe livebearer), 823 nucleotides long. RefSeq lists it as uncharacterized. The transcript has 4 exons. The record is from RefSeq and is a predicted model, not a curated record. Lineage: Eukaryota; Metazoa; Chordata; Actinopteri; Cyprinodontiformes; Poeciliidae.
CAAUGGGAAGUUUGGUUUCCGUGAAUUUUUAGACCAAUCAGAGAGCGGAAUGCCACAGAGACUCCGCCUUCUUUCCCGUGUUGGCAGAAUUGAUUGUAUGCGGGAGAUCCGACCCUGAUGAGACAGCUGAGACAGAAGCCGUUAAGAUCAGUUGGAACUGUUAGCUCUUCCGGCAGUUGGUUGGCAGUUGGUCUCAGUUCAACUGAAGUGCCCUACGUGUCCAGACUGAGUCACUAUGUAGUUGUUCUGAACGUGCCGCACUGAGAUCGAUCAGGUUUUUAUUUUUUUCUCCUGGAUUGUUCCUGAGGUGGAUUCCCCAUUUAACUUUCCUGGAGUGGAUUCCUCUAUUGACCUUGAUGGCGGGUCUUCCCACCUGGACUUAGAGAGAACUGGAUUUCCUCCCUUGCGUUUGGAGCCCUGCUGCACCCUGCAAUGUGGUAGGCUGUUAUCACUCACAUCUUCGCACACAGUGGUUAUGUAUGAGACACUGACUGACAUUUUUUGUUGUUGUUUCCUGGACAUAUUGGACACUGCCUUUCGGACCGUUUUCUUUUUAUUUGACAUGACAAUAAACUGCUGUGUAGGAGAUUCUCCUUAUGUGAAUGAUGUUGAGUGAGACCUGAAUUGGGAUUUAAUUUGAUUGAUUUGUUGUUUAAAAAGAUUAGAGUGCAGAUUACCAGGGUGCACCCAAAAGAUUUAAAUUUGAGGUUUAGCACUUUAUUGUUGUUUUUAUUUUAUGUAUUUUAUUGUGUGUCAUUUUAUUUUCUUAAUUGUGUGUCUUGUCCAAUUGUGAGUUUAUGGUUAAUGUUACUAAAGCUAAUUG